RNAcentral lists this ribosomal RNA (421 nucleotides) under uncultured bacterium. Its description in RNAcentral is "bacterial SSU rRNA". It matches the Rfam family "Bacterial small subunit ribosomal RNA", at positions 360 to 773 of the family's 1533-position model. The record is from RNAcentral.
AAUCUUGCGCAAUGCGCGAAAGCGUGACGCAGCAACGCCGCGUGGGUGAAGACGGCCUUCGGGUUGUAAAGCCCUUUCAGUUGGGACGAAGCUGUGCCGGUGAAUAGCCGGCCGCAGUGACGGUACCUUCACCAGAAGCCCCGGCUAACUACGUGCCAGCAGCCGCGGUAAUACGUAGGGGGCAAGCGUUGUCCGGAAUCAUUGGGCGUAAAGCGCGUGUAGGCGGUUCGAUUAGUCUGCUGUGAAAGUCGGGGGCUCAACCCUCGAAAGCCGGUGGAUACUGUCGGGCUAGAGUGCGGAAGAGGCGAGUGGAAUUCCUGGUGUAGCGGUGAAAUGCGCAGAUAUCAGGAGGAACACCAAUUGCGAAGGCAGCUCGCUGGGACGUUACUGACGCUGAGACGCGAAAGCGUGGGGAGCAAAC